Non-coding RNA from Mustela putorius furo (domestic ferret), 138 nucleotides. Lineage: Eukaryota; Metazoa; Chordata; Mammalia; Carnivora; Mustelidae. The record is from Rfam.
AGCUUUGCGCAGUGGCAGUAUCGUAGCCAAUGAGGUUUAUGCGAGGCGCUAUUAUUGCUAACUGAAAACCCUUCUAGUUCCCAUAGAAUCGGCUGUAAUGUUGCCUCUUUCAUUUCUGAUAUUAGUAACUUGGUUCUA